GAUGAAGAACGCAGCGAAAUGCGAUACUUGGUGUGAAUUGCAGAAUCCCGUGAACCAUCGAGUCUUUGAACGCAAGUUGCGCCCGAAGCCACUAGGCCGAGGGCACGCCUGCCUGGGCGUCACACGCCGUUGCCCCCCCAUCUACUCCUUCGGGAUUGCGGGGGGGCGGAUGAUGGCCUCCUGUGCGCCUAGCCGCGCGGUUGGCAUAAAUACCAAGUCCUCGGCGACGCACGCCACGACAAUCGGUGGUUGCGAAACCUCGGUUGCCCGUCGUGUGCGUUCGUCGCGCAUCGAGGGCUCGAAAAAAUGCUAGGCUCCGGCUGGGCUUUCAACGCGACCCCAGGUCAGGCGGGGUUACCCGCUGAAUUUAAGCAUAUCAAUAAGCGGAGGA
RNAcentral lists this unclassified non-coding RNA (391 nucleotides) under soil metagenome. Its description in RNAcentral is "partial contains 5.8S ribosomal RNA, internal transcribed spacer 2, and large subunit ribosomal RNA". The stretch from base 1 to 122 matches the Rfam family "5.8S ribosomal RNA", at positions 35 to 154 of the family's 154-position model. The record is from RNAcentral.